This 187-nucleotide non-coding RNA is filed under the name Jeotgalibaca dankookensis. Its description in RNAcentral is "Trichococcus sp. EX-07 Enterococcus sRNA 2410". It matches the Rfam family "Enterococcus sRNA 2410". Rfam says of the family: Produced as 2 transcripts on Northern blot. Expressed in mid, late exponential and early stationary phases of growth. The record is from Rfam by way of RNAcentral. Lineage: Bacteria; Bacillati; Bacillota; Bacilli; Lactobacillales; Carnobacteriaceae.
UUAGCUUCUUUAGAUAGUGUUUGUAAUCAUCGCUGAUGGGUACAAGCACAACAAACAGUGUUUGUAUCUAUGAGGCUAGAGUUAGUUUGCGCGAGCAAUUGCCACAUAGAUGAAAAUCUGAGUGGUAAUUGCGGAAAGUAUUUAUUUCUUUCUUCAAUUGAAGUUAGACCCCAUUCAGAUGGAUAAA